This 429-nucleotide ribosomal RNA is filed under the name Acidobacteriota bacterium. Its description in RNAcentral is "Acidobacteria bacterium partial 16S ribosomal RNA". It matches the Rfam family "Bacterial small subunit ribosomal RNA", at positions 355 to 776 of the family's 1533-position model. The record is from RNAcentral. Lineage: Bacteria; Pseudomonadati; Acidobacteriota.
UGGGGAAUCUUCCGCAAUGGACGAAAGUCUGACGGAGCAACGCCGCGUGAGUGAUGAAGGAUUUCGGUCUGUAAAGCUCUGUUGUUUAUGACGAACGUGCAGUGUGUGAACAAUGCAUUGCAAUGACGGUAGUAAACGAGGAAGCCACGGCUAACUACGUGCCAGCAGCCGCGGUAAUACGUAGGUGGCGAGCGUUGUCCGGAAUUAUUGGGCGUAAAGAGCAUGUAGGCGGCUUAAUAAGUCGAGCGUGAAAAUGCGGGGCUCAACCCCGUAUGGCGCUGGAAACUGUUAGGCUUGAGUGCAGGAGAGGAAAGGGGAAUUCCCAGUGUAGCGGUGAGAUGCGUAGAUAUUGGGAGGAACACCAGUGGCGAAGGCGCCUUUCUGGACUGUGUCUGACGCUGAGAUGCGAAAACCAGGGUAGCGAACGGG